This is a long non-coding RNA of Leguminivora glycinivorella, 1867 nucleotides long. RefSeq lists it as uncharacterized. The record is from RefSeq and is a predicted model, not a curated record. NCBI's taxonomy places the organism in Eukaryota, Metazoa, Arthropoda, Insecta, Lepidoptera, Tortricidae. The transcript is spliced from 2 exons.
UUGUAGCUCUUAAAAGUCUUAACUGUGUACCGAUAAAAGUGUCACAUAAUUAAAGAUUCAUCAUUCCAUUUGAGCCAGCUUUCGUGAAACGAGUUACAUCUAUGUAGUGCGAAAAGAUUUGCCUUCGUAUUGUUACGGAAACGUACGAACGUGGCAUGCUAUUUCAGUCAGUCUCAGUACAAGAUGUACUGACAUUGACUGAACUAGCAUGAUAAAUACGAACAUUUCCGGAAAAACGUACGGGUUUUUUCAUAAAUCUACGGUCGCGCUGGCACUGAAUGUGUUAAUAAGUAGUAUCGGCCCAAGUGGCCAAAUAUGUCGGGACACAGAUAUUUGACCACGUAUGCAGUCGCUGUCUGUUUCACUGUACUUUUGGCGUUAAACAUGUUUACAUAUUUACCCUACCCAAUUCCUUUAAGGCGGUAAGUUGAUCUAUGUCUUGACCGUCCAUUGUACCCAAGUGACAAUUGACAAUCUUUAGCGUCUGUUUCUCAAUAGGGAAUAUUACACAAAACUUUGUAGGGGGCGCCACGAACACACGGGAAACAAACUCUUAUGUUACUCUAUGAUUUAGUUUUUUGAAGUGCUGCGCUCUGGUGGUAAAACUUUCCAGUAAUACUCCCUAUUAAGUUCAAUCCAAAGUCUUAUACUGAAUAAAGGGUAUCUAUUAAUGAUUCAGUUAAUGUAUAAACCUCAAUUAAUUACAAUUAAUGAAACCUUAACCAUUUUAUGAUUCCGAAUAAAAAACAUGCCUGAGAAUUUAUUUGGACUUAUGUUAAAAUAAUAAAAAUGCCAUCAAAUGGAAUCGCAAGGCAAUCGUGCCGAUAUCACAGCUCGGUGUUACGUCAUAAGCAUCAUAACACAUCCAUAUUUUGUUGAGUUGCACCCUAUGGCCAUGAAGAUGGGUCAUGUGGGCUAUAAAUGGGCCAUACCCGUGUGCCCAUCCAGGGUAAUGCGACCAAAUCAAUAACACGUUUGAAGAUCUUUCACAUCAUGCCAAACACAACCUACGUAGUUUGGUCGGGUUCAUCAUUGCCCACCAGGAAACCAGCGAAUAACAUGCGUCUUCUCUUAAAACUUUAGAAGUAGGCAGAAAGAAAAAGUAAGAGAUUGACAAGGAAACAAUAUUAUAACACUUUCUCAGCUACUCUCACUGAAUGUUCUAUAAGACAUCUCGUUCGAAAUUAUCGACUCCCGUCCGUAGCAUAGAGAAAUAAGUAAGAAUAGAGCGCUCACUCAUAUCAAUUUCUGUACCAAAAUCAUUGUUAUUUUAGCCGUCAUUUAACAUUAGUCUAGGAGUAAGCCCUUCCUUAUUUAUCUAUGCCAGUAUAUACUAGUAUUUACAUGGGCUCAGCUAUGCACAUCACUUGUCUGCGGCGGUCAAAGGGCUCCGAAAUGUGUGAAGAUACAAUCAGACAGCAGGCCUGGUCUGCGGCAGGCACAGGUUGCAGUGAGCUGUCUUGUUCCAGAAGUCUGCCUUCUUCCACCUACACCAGCCCUUAGAGACGACAGUAGACGGGUCGAGUGUGUGUUAGGACUAGUUGAUCAGACAGCAGGCCUGGUCUGCGGCAGGCAGAGGUUGUAGUGGGCGGUCGUGUUCCAGAAGUCUGCCUUCUUCCACCUACACCAGCCCUUAGAGACGACAGUAGACGGGUCGAGUGUGUGUUAGGACUAGUUGAUCAGACAGCAGGCCUGGUCUGCGGCAGGCAGAGGUUGCAGUGAGCUGUCUUGUUCCAGAAGUCUGCCUUCUUCCACCUACACCAGCCCUUAGAGACGACAGUAGACGGGUCGAGUGUGUGUUAGGACUAGUUGAUCAGACAGCAGGCCUGGUCUGCGGCAGGCAGAGGUUGUAGUGAGCGGUCUUGUU